UCCAGAGGGUGCAAUCGUUAUUCGGAAUUAUUGGGCGUAAAGAGCACGUAGGUGGUUUCGUAAGUCUAAUGUGAAAACCCUGGACUCAAUUCAGGAAGUGCAUCGGAUACUGCGAGACCGGAGUACAGGAGAGGUGGGCGGAAUUCCAGGUGUAGAGGUGAAAUUCGUAGAUAUCUGGAGGAACAACAGUGGCGAAGGCGGCUCACUGGACUGUCACUGACACUGAGGUGCGAAAGCGUGGGGAGCAAACAGG
Molecule: ribosomal RNA, 253 nt
Filed under: uncultured bacterium
Lineage: Bacteria
Description: partial 16S ribosomal RNA
Rfam family: Bacterial small subunit ribosomal RNA
Source: RNAcentral